Molecule: long non-coding RNA, 214 nt
Organism: Apis dorsata (giant honeybee)
Lineage: Eukaryota; Metazoa; Arthropoda; Insecta; Hymenoptera; Apidae
Exons: 3
Source: RefSeq, a predicted model, not a curated record
ACGAUGAUACCGGCGCAGCGGCCGACGCGUAACCGACGAUCAACCGCCACGUAAUCGAUCUUCUUCGAGACAACUCCGCGCAACAAAGUCGUAAUCGAUGGCACGCCGCGAUUCUCCAAUUUCCCCGCUGCGUUCCGACAGGUCCUCAUUCUAUCGACCGUUCUGUAUCGUGCGUUUUACGAGAACCAACUAAGCAGGCCCAAUUAAUUCGAUU